This is a long non-coding RNA of Etheostoma cragini (Arkansas darter), 77 nucleotides long. RefSeq lists it as uncharacterized. The record is from RefSeq and is a predicted model, not a curated record. NCBI's taxonomy places the organism in Eukaryota, Metazoa, Chordata, Actinopteri, Perciformes, Percidae. The transcript is spliced from 3 exons.
ACUUUGGCAUUGUUUUCCGUGGUGGCCACUCAGACUUUUCAUAUAUUCCGUGCCACCACCACCACCUACUGCCACCC